RNAcentral lists this ribosomal RNA (720 nucleotides) under uncultured fungus. RNAcentral's name for it is "eukaryotic LSU rRNA". The stretch from base 270 to 423 matches the Rfam family "5.8S ribosomal RNA". The record is from RNAcentral. Lineage: Eukaryota; Fungi.
AAGUCGUAACAAGGUUUCCGUAGGUGAACCUGCGGAAGGAUCAUUAACGAGCCGUCGAAAUGGGUUGUUGCUGGCCCCGUCCGGGGCAGCGUGCACGCCUUGCUCGCACAUCCAUCCUUAUCACUUGUGCACAACCUGUAGUUCUGUGCUGACCGAGGGGGCGCCUCGAGCGUCCCCGAUGGCGCUCAGUCCUAUGUUUUUCAUUGCUCGAUGACACCACGGUUUGAUAGAAUGUGCCUCUGGCGUACUACGGUAACGCUAUAAAAUAUAACUUUCAGCAACGGAUCUCUUGGCUCUCGCAUCGAUGAAGAACGCAGCGAAAUGCGAUAAGUAAUGUGAAUUGCAGAAUUCAGUGAAUCAUCGAAUCUUUGAACGCACCUUGCACCCUUUGGCAUUCCGAGGGGUAUGCCUGUUUGAGUAUCAUGAAACCCUUCAACUCCCUCAGACCUUUUGCGUCUGUAGGCGAGCUUGGAAUUGGAGGCUUUUGCCGGCAAUAUGGUAAGGCUUUGGUCAAGCCGGCUUGCCUGGCUCCUCUUGAAAGAAUUAGCUGUGAUGUGAUCUUGACAGCGUGACCGGUGUGAUAAGUUUUUGCGCCGAACCAUGCUGUCCUCAAGCGACGCCGUCGGAGACCCUCCAGCUCAUAUUAACCGCCGUCCUUCACUGGCGCGGUCACUUUGAAUCUUUGAUCUCAAAUCAGGUAGGAUCACCCGCUGAACUUAA